This 500-nucleotide ribosomal RNA is filed under the name uncultured bacterium. RNAcentral describes it as "partial 16S ribosomal RNA". It matches the Rfam family "Bacterial small subunit ribosomal RNA", at positions 30 to 523 of the family's 1533-position model. The record is from RNAcentral.
AUUGAACGCUGGCGGCAUGCCUUACACAUGCAAGUCGAACGGCAGCACGGGAGCAAUCCUGGUGGCGAGUGGCGAACGGGUGAGUAAAGUAUCGGAACGUGCCCAGUCGUGGGGGAUAACGUAGCGAAAGCUACGCUAAUACCGCAUACGAUCUAUGGAUGAAACCGGGGGAUCGCAAGACCUCGCGCGAUUGGAGCGGCCGCUAUCAGAUUAGGUAGUGGGUGGGGUAAAGUCUCACCAAGCCGACGAUCUGUAGCUGGUCUGAGAGGACGACCAGCCACACUGGGACUGAGACACGGCCCAGACUCCUACGGGAGGCAGCAGUGGGGAAUUUUGGACAAUGGGCGAAAGCCUGAUCCAGCCAUGCCGCGUGCAGGAUGAAGGCCUUCGGGUUGUAAACUGCUUUUGUACGGAACGAAAAGGUUUGGCCUAAUAAGCUGAGCUCAUGACGGUACCGUAAGAAUAAGCACCGGCUAACUACGUGCCAGCAGCCGCCGUAA